AUAAAUUAAAAUAUAAAAUAUAAGUAUAUUAAAUAUAGAAUAACCGCAUAAAAGUAAACCAUAAAUAUGUUAAUAUAAUCUACAAAACUUUGUACCACCAUGAACAUACAAUUAGACUAAAUCAUAACAAUAGCUUCAAUUCAAUUUAAUUCAGAAGAAGAACAAAUGAGAGAAUGAAAGAAUGAAUGAAUGAACCACUGAUCAGUGAAGUUAUUAAUUCAAGAAAUUAAAUAAUGUAGUAAAUAGGAAAGCGUUAAGGAUAAAGUGAAAGCCGUGACCACCAUAAAUAAUAAAGUAACGCAGUGUGAUACAAUGCAAUGUGACGUCAUAUAACAUAAAACAAAUGAAAUAUAAUGAAAUAGAAUACAAAAUUCAAGAAGUGGGCUCACUAAAAUAUAACUGUGAAGAUUAUUAAUGAAAUACUCUAUUCCUUUACACAAGUAAAUUAUAAGUUAAAUUGUGAGCGGUAUUUGGUGAAUGAUAAAUGGUCAUGUCAAUGCAAAUGCAAAUAGAACCGAUUAUUGCAUGACAUUUCAAAAAAGUGGGUAAAUAGCAAAUAAAUCAAAUCAAAUGUAGACUGCGUAGUUCAAUUAACGCUGUGCUACUGUAUAGCGUAGAGAUAAAUAAAUAACUCAACAAGUAGAGUAUUAAAAACUAACAUUUAAAAUGGUGAAUUAAACAGAAACCAUGCACCUUCAAAGCACUUGAAUAGACAAAACCAUUCAGCAUCACAGAAAAAUAACAAAAUUAAGAUAAAUUAAAAUAAAUUAAGAUAAAGUAAGAUAAAGAUAAAUCAAGUCAAAUCAAAUCACCAACUUCAGCUGAUCAGAGUGGAUGAAUGGAUGAAUGGAUCAAGGAAGGAAGAGAGAAACAGCAGAAUACCAGCAAGUACAAGUAAGAAUCACAACCCCAAUGUGUCAAAGCAGUAUCAAAACCAGCAUGCAAGGACUAGUUAAACGAAAUAACAAAUAAGAGAGCUGAAUUGCAACUGAAAAGGAAAAGAAAAGGAGAAAGAAAGGAAACAAGAAACAGCCCAUCGUCAUGGAAGAGCAACAUUAUGACCAGAGAGAGACAUCAUGGAUAAAUUGAAUUAAAGAAUAUCAAGAACAUCAAAAUGUCCAAUGAAUAUCAAGAAUGCACAGGCAAAUCAAAAACCAAUCAACCAAUCAAAACCAAAUCAAGAAGCGAUAAUGAAAUAAGUAAAUAGCAAUAACAGUGAUAAUGUGGCACAGAUAAAUUAAUAUAUAUAAGUAUAAGUAGAUUAAAUUAUAGAAUAUAGAAUAAAGAAUAACCAUAUGGAAAUAAAUCAUAAAUAUAUUAAUACAAUCUACAGAACUACAGAACUUUGUACCAUCAUGAGUUAAAUAAAUAAACUAAGUCAUAACAAUUA
Molecule: long non-coding RNA, 1390 nt
Organism: Osmia bicornis bicornis
Lineage: Eukaryota; Metazoa; Arthropoda; Insecta; Hymenoptera; Megachilidae
Exons: 3
Source: RefSeq, a predicted model, not a curated record